Molecule: long non-coding RNA, 567 nt
Organism: Epinephelus moara (kelp grouper)
Lineage: Eukaryota; Metazoa; Chordata; Actinopteri; Perciformes; Serranidae
Exons: 4
Source: RefSeq, a predicted model, not a curated record
UAAGGUGUGCAGCCGCUCACAUGGUGACAUGAAGUGUUCCUGUGUGCGCCGUUAGAGUUUGUAGGACGGAGAGCAGAGAGGGGCGAAAGGGGAAGAGGGGAAGAGUCUGUCGGGCAACAGCGGAGGAGAAAAACGACAUCAACCAGCUGCACCGGUGUCACGUCUCAUUUUGGAGCGAUGCUCAUCAAAUACUUCAUCACCGGCCCCUCUCAGUUUCACUGCAGACGCUGGCUGACCUCAUCGAGUGACCUCACCAAUCACAGAUCAAAGUCUUCGGGUUUCUGGCUGGUCAGGUUAAUCAGAGGACCACCCUGAAGAACCAAUCAGGUAAUUGAAUAAAUUCCCAGAGCUCUGUGUGGAAUUAGAAGAAGCUGGUCUUUGGUCAGAGGAGAGCUUUUAAGAAACCGGGGAACGCACAUCAGAGGCCAAGCAGUCGAUGAAAACACGGAAUCGAGGCUGUCUGUCUGGAUCAGGGGCUGGGCCCUUGACCCCUGAAUGUCCCCUCCGAAGCAGACGGCAGGGUUUUAUUGGCCAGUCAGACUCAAUUUAUUAAACACUAUGCAACUC